This 335-nucleotide small nuclear RNA is filed under the name Carlito syrichta (Philippine tarsier). RNAcentral's name for it is "7SK RNA (ENSTSYG00000020879.2)". It matches the Rfam family "7SK RNA". From Rfam's summary of the family: 7SK was discovered as an abundant small nuclear RNA in the mid-70s but a possible function has only recently been suggested. Two independent studies have found that 7SK RNA binds the CDK9/cyclin T complex (known as elongation factor P-TEFb). Lineage: Eukaryota; Metazoa; Chordata; Mammalia; Primates; Tarsiidae. The record is from Rfam by way of RNAcentral.
GGAUGUGAGGGCAAUCUGGCUGCUACAUCCAUCACCCCACUGGUUGCCAGGGUUGAUUUGGCUGAUCUGGCUGGCUAGGUGGGUGUCCCCUCCCUCCCCCAUUGCUCCAUGUGCAUCCCUCCAGAGCUGUGCAUUCAGUUAGAGAGGAUGGCCAUCCCUGCUAGAAGAGGACCGUGCUUCAGCCAAGGGUACAUGAGUAACUGCACUCCUCUGCUAGAGCCCCCAAACAAGCUCUCAAAGAGAACAGGUUUAAAAUUCUGGUUGUUUUACAGCAGGGUGUUUAGAUUAAGACAUACAGCAGUCCUCUGGCUAUUGCUGGACUCCCAGUGUCCCAG